Molecule: long non-coding RNA, 632 nt
Filed under: Homo sapiens (human)
Lineage: Eukaryota; Metazoa; Chordata; Mammalia; Primates; Hominidae
Description: non-protein coding lnc-DPF3-1:2
Source: RNAcentral
CUUCACAAGUCACCCUGUGAUGGUGUCCAUACUGCGAGGCAUCCCUCACCCGAGAAAGCAACUUUUUCUGCACGGGAUGACUCUGGUUACAUUUGCUUGUUCCCGCCAUGAAUAAAAGGAAGAGAGGUCAGCUGAAGAGGCAAUUAAUUCAACACAACUGAGUAGGAACAGCCAUGGAAUGUUCUAAUGCUUGAAAUACAGACCAUAGCAUGCACCCAUGUGCAUGCCAUGUAUUUCUUGUUGAGAGUUUCUUGGGAACCAGUGAAUUUGGCUGGACCAUCAGAAAAUUUUGUGACUUCUCCCUCUGCCUGUUGUCCAAAUGGUGGAGAGAUGGACCCUUGUGGCCAGAGAACACACUGGUGAUUUCUCAGACUUCCCUUAGCAUUUUCAGAGGAUCUCAGGGUGCUCUUUCCCUUUCUCCUCCUUAUUGGCUUCUUUGUUCCCAUGGAAUCACUGAUGAAGCCCAGCCCUCCUGGAGUUAAGUGUGGUCAAAUGGUAAAAAAUCCCAGGUGUUUGUUGCUAUUCAUCUUUGUCUUGGACAUUUUGGAUGACUCUCCCCUCCUGGGACUAGAGACAAACUGAACUGACUUUCCAGGGCCUGUGAUCAGCAGGAAAGCUCCCACCAGAAGCCA